GUCUAUGCAGUCAAAGAUGAAUGUUAAUAUUGAGAAAUUCUUGGUAUAUAGUUAAUACGUUAAACAUUCCACCUGGGAAGUACGAUCGCAAGAUUGGAACUCAAAAGAAUUGACGGGGGUCUACACAAGUGGUGGAGCAUGUGGUUUAAUGCGAUAAUACGCGCGAAAUCUUACCAGUUUUUGAAUAUAUUCUGAAAAUUUUUUAUCUUUAUUUUUAUAAAAAUAUAAUUAUUAUUUUGUCUUAAGAAUAUACAGGUGUUGCAUGGCUGUCGU
This 273-nucleotide ribosomal RNA is filed under the name uncultured bacterium. RNAcentral describes it as "partial 16S ribosomal RNA". It matches the Rfam family "Bacterial small subunit ribosomal RNA", at positions 793 to 1055 of the family's 1533-position model. The record is from RNAcentral.